RNAcentral lists this ribosomal RNA (496 nucleotides) under uncultured bacterium. RNAcentral describes it as "partial 16S ribosomal RNA". It matches the Rfam family "Bacterial small subunit ribosomal RNA", at positions 29 to 507 of the family's 1533-position model. The record is from RNAcentral.
AUGAACGCUGGCGGCGUGCCUAAUACCUGCAGGUCGCGCGCACAGACGAGGAGCUUGCUCCUCUGACGUUAGCGGCGGACGGGUGAGUAACACGUGGAUAACCUACCUAUAAGACUGGGAUAACUUCGGGAAACCGGAGCUAAUACCGGAUAAUAUAUUGAACCGCAUGGUUCAAUAGUGAAAGACGGUUUUGCUGUCACUUAUAGAUGGAUCCGCGCCGCAUUAGCUAGUUGGUAAGGUAACGGCUUACCAAGGCAACGAUGCGUAGCCGACCUGAGAGGGUGAUCGGCCACACUGGAACUGAGACACGGUCCAGACUCCUACGGGAGGCAGCAGUAGGGAAUCUUCCGCAAUGGGCGAAAGCCUGACGGAGCAACGCCGCGUGAGUGAUGAAGGUCUUCGGAUCGUAAAACUCUGUUAUUAGGGAAGAACAAAUGUGUAAGUAACUAUGCACGUCUUGACGGUACCUAAUCAGAAAGCCACGGCUAACUACGUG